UACGGAGGGUCCAAGCGUUAUCCGGAUUUAUUGGGUUUAAAGGGUGCGUAGGCGGUUCAGUAAGUUAGAGGUGAAAUCCCGUGGCUCAACCACGGACCUGCCUCUGAUACUGCUGGGCUAGAGAUUGGUUGCUGUGGGCGGAAUGUGUGGUGUAGCGGUGAAAUGCGUAGAUAUUAGGAGGAAUACCAGUUGCGAAGGCGGCUCUCUGGACUGUAACUGACACUGAGGCACGAAAGCGUGGGGAGCAAACAGGAUUAGAUACCCCCGUAGU
This 271-nucleotide ribosomal RNA is filed under the name uncultured prokaryote. RNAcentral's name for it is "partial 16S ribosomal RNA". It matches the Rfam family "Bacterial small subunit ribosomal RNA", at positions 524 to 794 of the family's 1533-position model. The record is from RNAcentral.